Molecule: ribosomal RNA, 383 nt
Filed under: Nesolagus timminsi (Annamite striped rabbit)
Lineage: Eukaryota; Metazoa; Chordata; Mammalia; Lagomorpha; Leporidae
Description: partial small subunit ribosomal RNA
Rfam family: Bacterial small subunit ribosomal RNA
Source: RNAcentral
GGUCAUACGAUUAACCCAAGUUAAUAAAUUUCGGCGUAAAGCGUGUUUAGAAGUAAACAAAAAUAAAAUCAAAUAUUGACCAAACUGUAAAAAGUACUAGUCAUAAACAAAACCAGCAACGAAAGCGAUUUUAGAAUCUUUUGAGCACACGAUAGCUAAGACCCAAACUGGGAUUAGAUACCCCACUAUGCUUAGCCUUAAACCUUAAUAAAUUCAUAACAAAAUUAUUCGCCAGAGAACUACAAGCCAGAGCUUAAAACUCAAAGGACUUGGCGGUGCUUUAUACCCACCUAGAGGAGCCUGUUCUAUAAUCGAUAAACCCCGCUAAACCUUACCACUCUUUGCCAACUCAGCUUAUAUACCGCCAUCUUCAGCAAACCCUA